AACGUAGGUGGCAAGCGUUAUCCGGAUUUACUGGGCGUAAAGCGUGUGCAGGCGGGGGUACAAGUGGUGUAUGAAAUUUCCCAGCUUAACUGGGAAGGGUUAUGCCAGACUGUACUUCUGGAGUGCGAGAGAGGCGAGUGGAAUUCCUGGUGUAGCGGUGAAAUGCGCAGAUAUCAGGAGGAACACCAAUUGCGAAGGCAGCUCGCUGGGACGUGACUGACGCUGAGACGCGAAAGCGUGGGGAGCAAACAGG
This 253-nucleotide ribosomal RNA is filed under the name uncultured bacterium. Its description in RNAcentral is "partial 16S ribosomal RNA". It matches the Rfam family "Bacterial small subunit ribosomal RNA", at positions 524 to 776 of the family's 1533-position model. The record is from RNAcentral.